Molecule: long non-coding RNA, 400 nt
Organism: Suricata suricatta (meerkat)
Lineage: Eukaryota; Metazoa; Chordata; Mammalia; Carnivora; Herpestidae
Exons: 2
Source: RefSeq, a predicted model, not a curated record
CCCAAGAAGCUAAGUGGAUGAGGGAUGUGAAGACAUACUUAGACAAGAUGAAGGAUCUGCCUUGAACAGUAUAGUGCCAGCCUGGGAGAUGUGACCAGGCUGGCAACAUCUGAAACAGGAGACAGGCGGAGGAGAGGGUCUGAUCAGUCUCAGUGACUCCCAGGAAGAAGGUGGGGUGGCAGCAGAUCCAAGGUGCCAAGCAAAUGCCAGAUGCGUUGACAUCCAUUCUCCAGCACAACUGGGAGCAACAUUAUCAUCUGAUGAACAUGACACUCAUGAGCUUAAACCAUUUCUCCAAGGUCACAUAGAAGAUUUAUCUGAAUUAUUCCAUUUCUGUACAUUGCUCUGCUCUCUGUAUUGUAUUUGGGUGAAGAUGGCAUUAAAGUAACCUCACUGGUGA